This 1196-nucleotide unclassified non-coding RNA is filed under the name Penaeus chinensis. Its description in RNAcentral is "uncharacterized LOC125034819, transcript variant X14". The record is from RNAcentral. Lineage: Eukaryota; Metazoa; Arthropoda; Malacostraca; Decapoda; Penaeidae.
GUUCGCUCUCUCUCUGAUGAGUGGCGUCCCCGUGCACCAUCACCCAGCUCGGUUUUUAGUUAAAGCUGAGGUGCAAGUGUUUGUGUUGUAUCAGGCAAGGAAAAAGUACAGGCUCGGGAAGGAGAAAAUGGACCGUGCGAACUCAAUGGAUAAAAGACCCGAAGAACAAAGAAAAAAGAAAAAGACUUGUGGCUGGCGAGUAGUCGGCCUCUCCCCGCCAGGUCGUGACAAAGAGAAACUUCAUGACACUAAGACAGCAGAAAACACGGGGCUGCGACGACGGCAUGGCCAGCGUUACCAAAAGCCAAGCAGAGGAUACCACAGCGGCGGAUGAACCACUGGUACCAACGCCGAGAGCAAGCUAUGACUCAACUCUUCCACAAGGACCUGCGUUCUGUGGGGCAUGGAGCUGAAAUUUCUGUGACAGAUGGAGGGCCACCCGUCACGCUGACAACGAGGAUGACCUCCAGGACUACGUGGUUCGCCUACAAAUGCGGUCUCGUGAAGCCACGGCGACGACGGAACGCGUCUGCGCUGGACUCGGAGCCUCGAGGAGGACCUUGCGUAAAGGGAGUGAAAGUGGCCGUCCGCAUCGCUGCUUCCUUGUGAGGGAUCGUAGGAGCGGGAGAGCAACACAGGAAAUGCAGCGCCAUCGCUAUGCAAAAUCAUCAAUCACAGAAGACAUCACCCGGGCAAAGCUUUCUUCUGAACUUAAGAGAAGAAUGAUAAAGGCCUCCCCCAACCAGUAUCCCCUCCCCCUUCCCGGACAGAAUCUCUCCAAUCGCAUUUGCAUCCUCAAGCAAUGGGAAAUUUCUUGCUCAGCAAAGAUAUUCCACACGCCCGAGGAGUCUUUUCCUCUUUCAUACCUUUCUCCAUCAUAGCGUGAAUAUUUUAGGAAUUGCGGGGCUGCGCCUGCUGGCCUGUUCUCAUGAAUGUUAAGGGAAUAAACUGAUAUUUUUAUGAAGCAUAAUUUGACAAAUUGUAUAUAGAUUUAUCUGAAGCAUUUGAAGUUACGUUUCACCCUUUUACUUGCAAUAAAAAGAUGAUGCAUUAAUUCAGAAAAUCUAAUGAAAAAAUAGUCCUUGACAAGAUAACUUUUCUUUGUUUUGACUUGUUAAAGGGAAGUUUGUUUUAAACUUAAUAAUCUCUAUAACUCUUGAUCUAGUUUCGACAUUAAUAAAUAUGACCAAACUGAA